AGAGCCUCGAAAUAGAACAAAACCGGCCCGUGGGGGAGGGGAAAGCAGGCCGGAGAGGAUGCGGGCGCUGGAGGCUCUGCGGACCCCCGAAGUGCCGCAGGUCGCCGCCGCCCUUCCGCCGCCGCGGCCUUUUAUGCGCACGCCCGGAAUGCUGAGCGUCGCCGGCCUCUGGACCCUUACCUGAGCCCCCGCCUCCUCGAACCCUACCCCCGCGCGCUGCUGACCUCUGGCUCGGGACCCGCCACAGCCUCGUCGUCCCGGGCAGACGCUGCGCCGCCGCUUUCAGCCGCUUCCCACAAGCCCCCGGCGCGCACGGCUUCCGGUCCGCAGGACGGGGGGGGGGG
Molecule: long non-coding RNA, 344 nt
Filed under: Rattus norvegicus (Norway rat)
Lineage: Eukaryota; Metazoa; Chordata; Mammalia; Rodentia; Muridae
Description: long non-coding RNA NONRATT013252
Source: RNAcentral